RNAcentral lists this long non-coding RNA (3511 nucleotides) under Oryza sativa (Asian cultivated rice). RNAcentral's name for it is "long non-coding RNA (OSAT_LNC000016)". The record is from RNAcentral. Lineage: Eukaryota; Viridiplantae; Streptophyta; Magnoliopsida; Poales; Poaceae.
CGUUGUGCUCCCGCCGGCCUCUGCUGCCGUCGUCCCUCGUCGCCUUCACCACGCGAACGCCAGCCACCGCCACUCUCCUGGCCGGGAGUGAGAGAGAGAGAGAGAGGAGUAUGAGGAGAGGAGAUAAGGAUGACAUAAGGAGAGAGAGGGAUGAGUUGAAAAAAAUCCAAGUGUUAAAGAUGGAAUGAGGAGGUAACUCGAACUUUUGAAUGAACCAUCCAGAGUCCGUCCUGCAAAAAUAUAUACUUUCGUGCAUCCAUUUAAGAGGCCCGCCAGAAAAAAUAGUCUUUUUUUUUCAUACGACUCCCUAUGAGGGCCAUCUAUAAAAUAGAUUUUCACGUGCGGAUAUGUUAAGGAGUCGUACAUAAAAAUAGAUUUUCACGUGCGGAUAUGUUAAGGAGUCGUACAUGAAAACAGGGAGAUGAUUUUUCAGACGCGGGCGGAUACUUAUAUUCCGUUUACAACCUAUUGAGUUGUUUGUACAGGAAAAUUAUUUGUAGUAGUGGGUGCCGUAGCUUGAUGUUAGUAGUUUGAACUUACGUAAUGUCUAGAAACACGAGGGAUCGAAAGUUUGGUUCAAAUGGUUUGUUAUGUAGGAAUGAGGAUUUUGUUCACCUUUUUCUCUUUCAAGAAGUAUCGGCUAUGUCGAUUGUUGUGCAUGUAUAGGAUGAUUUACCCUGGUCAAUGUUGACCUUGCAAACAUGAGGUUAGUCAAAAGUUACCAAAUCUUGAGGUUUAUCUUGCUCCAAUAAUUUUAACUGUAGCUUUACUAAAUCAAGUUGGCUUAAAAAAUGUCUUAGCUUGUAGUCUCGUACUCCCUCAGAUACUUGUCCUAAUUUUGACGUGCUUUAAAACUUUUGAAACUUGAAUUGAUCAAAAUUUACAUUUGAAGGCCGUAUCGAUGUCCAGUGAUUGAUAUGUAUUGCUCCUGAUGAUAGAGGGGUAUAAAGAGAGCAGUAUAUAUUUUUAUAGAGAUAGUUAAGUAUUUAGCACUAUUGAAUGUGACAAUUAAAAAUCUGUCAUUAAUUAGACCCAUAUCUCAUAGACACAUAAGGUUCUACAUGUUAUAGACUAUAGACUAUAUGAGUGACAAAAUAGUUAAAUGUUAUAUAUUAAAAGUGGCAAAUAGUUAAAUGUCACGUAUUUAUAAUGUUUCCAAUCAAGAUUAGUAUGUAUACAUAUGAGCGUGCAAGCCAACAGUAACAAUCAAUACUCUAAAAGAGAGAGCUUGCAGGUUCAAGAACUAAAUUAACAAUUGUCUUCAAUAAAAUGACCUUGACAAUUUCUUAUAUUUUUUAUAAUGUUGAAUGACUUGUCUCUUCCGAAUUUUCCAAUUAAAUCCCUAGUACUUUUUAUAUUUCUAAUAUUUUCAAACAUGUUGAAGGAUACAAAAUUACACAUGGGCGCAUGACUACAUUUUUUUUCCUUUUAUAUGUUUUCCUCAUCAACGAUAAUAUACAAUCUGUUGCUAAAAUAAGCUAAGCUAUUCAUCAUGCCAUCAUAUUUAAGUACUUCAUAAUUAUUAAAACUUUUUUUGGCAUGAGUCAUAACACACAACUAAGUAUAUACCGGGCGUGAUCAAUGCAAUGCAUGUAGAAAACGGGUUCGCACGUGCCAUCCUUUCCACACGUGCACGAAAAGCAUUUGCCACCACAUUUUUGUCUUGUAGCUAAGGACUUUGCAAUUUGCCCAAUUGAAUUUACACUGUCCAAUUCAUAAAGCUACCUGCUACUACUCCAUUUACAACGGACACGUUGCUUUGUGGGGACCAUCUUGUCAGAGGGUCUAUAAAUUAAUUAAGGAUAAACACGUCCACGAAUUUGUGUUUUUAUUUGUCUUUUGCCCCCUCCAAGAAUGGUACUAAUACAAGACCAUCAAGCAAUUAAUAUCAGACCAGGUUGGACUGAUUAAUUGUACCUUUUGGGGUUCAGUAGGGCUAGCCAAUUAACUUUUUGUUAUAAAUGAAAUAUAACAAAUGGCAUAUUUACAAACAAAAAAUAUUUUAUAAAUAAAACUUUUAUAUACGUGCUCUUAGCAAUCUAAAAGCAAAGGCUGAAAAAUAAACUUCGGUGAAAAAACCUCAAAAUUAACUCUAAAUUUAAAGUUAAUAAUUUAAAUUUUAGCCGAUAAGUAUAAGCAUAAUUGAAAAGAAAAGAUGAGGCUCGUUACUGAUUAAUUAGCACAGCACAUAAUUAGCUAGGUCAGCAUGCAUGGUUGUCACUAGUCACUACCUCUGCUUUCUUCAUAAUUCUAGCGUCUUUUAAGACUUUUAAGAUUAAUCUAUACAUCACAUUCUAUUGUCUUUAAAAGUUAUUGAUAGAUAAAAUUCUACUUAUUUGAUCUUAAUUUUGUUCAAAUCGUUCAACCGAGGGAGUAGUUCGACUAGCUCAUGUAUAUAUAUAAUGUCCCAUAAGUUGAUGUUAUAAUUAAGUGAUCAAACGGUGCUUAAUUAACUUUAAUCAAACAGGCAUGGCAGUCAUCAAUUCAUCGUGCUUGUGUGACGCAAGCUGCCGAUCGAGGUGGAUGACAAGAGCAUGCAUUUGGUGAUAUUAAUAGCACGUACGAGGCAUGCAUGGAUAUUGGGCUGUAAAUUCAUUAAUCCUUCAAGCGCGAAAAAUAAAGAGGGCUGCUAGAGAACGGGAUACCAUCUGAACGAGAUACUUUAUAGAGGCUAGCGCAUCAGCUUUCUCCCCAUAAGUCUAGCGUCACCCCCCCCACAACUUCCACGUGCUCGCACCCCCAUGCCUUGAGGUAGUGCCCGCAGUGUCGUAGGCAACGAUACUGGUCACAACAGCAAGGAAUAAGGGUUGAGCCGAGGGGAAGGUAAAAGAGGAGAGGGAGCGUUAAUACUUGAUAUUUGCAGGUACUAGCCCUAGCCCUGAUACAUAAGUACCAGGUUUGAUACGUGUAAGUACCAACCAUGAUACCCAGGUACCAGGCCUAAUACCAAUGGGUACUAGGUCUGAUACCUAACCAUGAUACCCAGGUACCAGACCUUAUACCUACGGGUACCAGGUCUGAUACCUAGGUAUCGGUCAUGAUAUUCACAGGUACCAGGCAUGAUAGGGGUAUCGAGUCUGAUACCUAGGUAUCAGCCGUGAUACCACAGGUAUCAGGCAUGAUACCUAUGAGUACCGGCUACUGAUGAUACAUUGUAGACAUACAUACACACACUCGGGCGAGGAGCAUGACGGCUCACCAUCACGUUGCCCCUUCAUCACCAUCGAUAACGCACGUGGAAGGAGGAGGCCGAGGAGCACACGUUGGGCCUCAUCCUUCUAGUUCCCGAUGACCUCGCUUCUUCCAAGUUGCCCCCGGCCGCCAUCAGAGCUAGAUCCAGUGGUGCCACCAUGCCUCAAAAGCAUGACGGAGGAGGCCAUGAGAUUGGUGUUGCCCACGCGCCGUUGAUGCCGACGUGCACUCGCCCUAGAUCUAGCAGUGAGGAGGCAUAGUACUCUAGAUUCAUUUUUCGGGGCUGCUCUACCAUUACCAUGCCUGCAUAGAAGCUCUU